UAAUUCUCUUUAUUAGAUGACUAGCUUGCUGAACACUAUUCAUUACAGGUUUGUUACCUGAUUCUACAUGGCCUCCUCUCCCUGUAGCACCACAUAGGACCCUGCAGCUCGAAGCAUGACAUGAGAAUGAGGGCCUGCUCCACCCCUGCAAAACAGUGACCAAGGAGGGACACAGAGUAAAUGGAAACUUGGAUUCAUCUCAACAUCUACACACCAGCCAGCAGAACAACCUCUAGAAAGGAAGAAAUGGGGGAAGAAAAGACCAUGGAAGCACUGAGAAAACUGAAGGAUUCCUUCCUCGAAAGACUCUGUGACAAGGAAUUGAAAUAUAACAUGACUCUAUAGGCAGGUAUGCGUACGGAGAGAUCGUAAGGUGGAUGCUGUGGUUGCCCGCAAGUGAAAUUGAGGGCAAGAUUUGGACCACAGGCCCUUUAUCAUUGAUAAAUGAUGAUGGUGCAUAAUCCAGGAAGACCGCAGGUUGAUUUUCAGAUCCAAGGUUCAAGUCUGCAGCAAUUACAACUAGAAAAAGUUCUCUCUAUACUUGUGAACUGAGCAAAUGUGAUCCAGAAAUCAUCGUUUUUGCAGACUGACUAUCCUCAACAUACAUACAUUUUAAGAUACUCAUGUUGUGAUUACUCUACUCAGUACUGGAGCUGUGGGAGAGCACUGAGGAUCAAAUUCUGCCUAAUGAAUUAACAGAAGCUGUAACUAAAUACUAUAUUAUAUUUAAGCACAGAAAGCCUAUUAAUCUGCAUUCAGCUAAAGACCUAAGAAUGUCAGCUAGCAUUCCUCUGCAGGAUUCCAGCAGGCACAUCAUUUGCCACAUUUCUCUCAUGACUUUCCAAAAAAGACAUCUCUUAAAUAUGGUCAAAGUUGUUUAAGCUGAGCAUCAUUUAAAUUUACACCUGAAAAAAUGCCUAGAUUUUAUAACCUGCAUAAAUUAGUGGAUUUACACAGCUAACCAUCAUGCUGGAGCAAAACUACAAGUUAUUUUUUCUUCUUGUCAUAAAGGUCCUCAGAUGCCAGUAAGAAAGGCAGGGUUUCUCAAACAGGGGUCGCCGCUUAUGUAGGGAAAGCCCCUGGCGGGCCAGGCCAAUGUGUUUACCUGCUCCAUCCACAGGUUUGGCCGAUUGCGGCUCCCACUGGCUGCAGAUCACUGCUCCGGGUCAAUAGGAGCUGCUGGAAGCAGCGCGGGCCGAGGGCUUUCCCUACAUAAGCGGUGACCCCUGUUUGAGAAACCCUGGAGAAAGGGAUAUAAUUAAGUUAUUCAGUCCAUGGCAGAGAGACAAUUACUGAUGACUUGAGGUGCCAACAAGACAUGAUAAAACGGAAGACAAGAGAAUUGGUUAAAAAUCAGGCAAAAAAAAGACAUUUGUUUAGUGUCUAACCCUUGUAGGGUAAGAUUCUUUGAUACUUAAGACAAAUGUCUCAAUAAUGCUGUGUAUUUUUUAUGGCCUUUUCUAUAGGAUACAAGAUUAUCCCGAAUUCUUUUAAGUAACUUCAGGGCUGGAAUCCUCCAUCUUUGCAGGUACCUAUAUCACAAUUAAACUGCCCUGUAGACUGAGCCUCAUAAACCCAAGUCAGCUGAUACGGACCCAGCCAUGGGUGUUUAACUGCAGUAUAGACAUACUCUUAGUGCCUGAUAUAAAGCCCAGUGAAGUCAAUGGGAGCACCACUGCUGAAUUUAAUGGGUAUUGAAUCAGACACUUACACCAGACUCCCCUGUCACACAUACCUUUGCAAGUCCCAUUGAUUUCAGUAGGGUUAUAUGGGAAUAACUAAGAACUGAAUUUUAGUCACUGGUUAAUGGAACUGCAUGGAGUAACUGGGAGCAUUGGGCACUUUCCCCUUUUGUUAGAGAUUGAAAUUUUUAUAUCUCAGUUGACUUCUCAAAAGGUGCACUGAAAAGUUGGGUGGGUUUUUUUUGAACAACAGCUCAGAUCACUAAUAAAAUAUUUCAGCUGAAUUUUAUAACA
This 1976-nucleotide long non-coding RNA is filed under the name Gopherus agassizii (Agassiz's desert tortoise). RNAcentral describes it as "lncRNA (ENSGAGG00000020345.1)". Lineage: Eukaryota; Metazoa; Chordata; Testudines; Testudinidae. The record is from RNAcentral.